GAUGAACGCUGGCGGCGUGCUUAAUACAUGCAAGUCGAACGGACAGGCCCUGCUUUUGUGGGUCGCUCGUGUGGCGAACGGGUGAGUAACACGCGUGUAACCUCCCCUUGUCUUUGGGAUAACUUUUGGAAACUGGGGCUCAUACCGGAUAGGAGCUCUUGCUGCACGGUGGGGGUUGGAAAGUUUCGGCGGUUGUGGAUGGUAUCGCGGGUUAUCCGCUUGUUGGGGGGGUAGUGGCUUACAAAGGCUUUGACGGGUAGCCGGCCUGGGAGGGGGACCGGCCACAUUGGGACUGCGGUACGGACCAGUCUCCUACGGGAGGCAGCGGGGGAGAAUAUGACGCAAUAGGCGGAAGCGUGAUGCGGCAACGCCGCGUGCGUGAUGACGGCCUUCGAGUUGUAAACCGCUGUCUCCUGAGACGAAGCGUGAGUGACGGUAAUGAGUAAGAAAGCACCGGCUAACUACGUG
This 468-nucleotide ribosomal RNA is filed under the name uncultured bacterium. RNAcentral's name for it is "partial 16S ribosomal RNA". It matches the Rfam family "Bacterial small subunit ribosomal RNA", at positions 28 to 507 of the family's 1533-position model. The record is from RNAcentral.